CUGUUAGCUCAGUUGGUAGAGCAACUGACUCUUAAUCAGUGGGUCUAGGGUUCGAAUCCCU
RNAcentral lists this transfer RNA (61 nucleotides) under human gut metagenome. It matches the Rfam family "tRNA", at positions 8 to 62 of the family's 71-position model. Rfam says of the family: Transfer RNA (tRNA) molecules are approximately 80 nucleotides in length. RNAcentral also lists the same sequence under 4 other names. The record is from RNAcentral.